GACGAACGCUGGCGGCGUGCUUAACACAUGCAAGUCGAACGGAAAGACCCUGCUUUUGUGGGGUGCUCGAGUGGCGAACGGGUGAGUAACACGUGAGUAACCUGCCCUUGACUUUGGGAUAACUUCAGGAAACUGGGGCUAAUACCGGAUAGGAGCUCCUGCUGCAUGGUGGGGGUUGGAAAGUUUCGGCGGUUGGGGAUGGACUCGCGGCUUAUCAGCUUGUUGGUGGGGUAGUGGCUUACCAAGGCUUUGACGGGUAGCCGGCCUGAGAGGGUGACCGGCGACAUUGGGACUGAGAUACGGCCCAGACUCCUACGGGAGGCAGCAGUGGGGAAUAUUGCACAAUGGGCGGAAGCCUGAUGCAGCAACGCCGCGUGCGGGAUGACGGCCUUCGGGUGGUAAACCGCUUUGGCCUGUGACGAAGCGUGAGUGACGGUAAUGGGUAAAGAAGCACCGGCUAACUACGUG
This 468-nucleotide ribosomal RNA is filed under the name uncultured bacterium. RNAcentral describes it as "partial 16S ribosomal RNA". It matches the Rfam family "Bacterial small subunit ribosomal RNA", at positions 28 to 507 of the family's 1533-position model. The record is from RNAcentral.